GACGAACGCUGGCGGCGUGCUUAACACAUGCAAGUCGAACGGAAAGGCCCUGCUUGCAGGGUACUCGAGUUGCGAACGGGUGAGUAACACGUGGGUGAUCUGCCCUGCACUUCGGGAUAAGCCUGGGCAACUGGGUCUAAUACCGGAUAGGAGCCAUUUUUAGUGUGAUGGUUGGAAAGUUUUUUCGGUGUUGGGUGAGCUCGCGGCCUAUCAGCUUGUUGGUGGGGUAAUGGACUACCAAGGCGGCGACGGGUAGCCGGACUGAGGGGGUGGACGGCCACACUGGGACUGAGGGACGGCCCAGACUCCUACGGGAGGCAGAAGGGGGGAAUAUUGCACAAGGGGCGCAAGCCGGGUGCAGCGACGCCGCGGGGGGGAUGACGGCCUUCGGGUUGUAAACUACAUUCGCUAGGGACGAAGCUUUUUGUGACGGUACCUAGAUAAGAAGCACCGGCUAACUACGUG
Molecule: ribosomal RNA, 465 nt
Filed under: uncultured bacterium
Lineage: Bacteria
Description: partial 16S ribosomal RNA
Rfam family: Bacterial small subunit ribosomal RNA
Source: RNAcentral